AGUGAACGCUGGCGGUAGGCCUAACACAUGCAAGUCGAACGGCAGCACAGGAGAGCUUGCCCUCUGGGUGGCGAGUGGCGGACGGGUGAGGAAUACAUCGGAAUCUACUUUUUCGUGGGGGAUAACGUAGGGAAACUUACGCUAAUACCGCAUACGACCUACGGGUGAAAGCAGGGGACCUUCGGGCCUUGCGCGAUUGAAUGAGCCGAUGACGGAUUCGCUAGUUGGCGGGGUAAAGGCCCACCAAGGCGACGCUCCGUAGCUGGUCUGAGAGGAUGAUCAGCCACACUGGAACUGAGACACGGUCCAGACUCCUACGGGAGGCAGCAGUGGGGAAUAUUGGACAAUGGGCGCAAGCCUGAUCCAGCCAUACCGCGUGGGUGAAGAAGGCCUUCGGGUUGUAAAGCCCUUUUGUUGGGAAAGAAAUCCAGCUGGCUAAUACCCGGUUGGGAUGACGGUACCCAAAGAAUAAGCACCGGCUAACUUCGUGCCAGCAGCCGCGGUAA
This 506-nucleotide ribosomal RNA is filed under the name uncultured bacterium. Its description in RNAcentral is "partial 16S ribosomal RNA". It matches the Rfam family "Bacterial small subunit ribosomal RNA", at positions 29 to 523 of the family's 1533-position model. The record is from RNAcentral.